AACGAACGCUGGCGGCAUGCCUAACACAUGCAAGUCGAACGAGACCUUCGGGUCUAGUGGCGCACGGGUGCGUAACGCGUGGGAACCUGCCCUUAGGUUCGGAAUAACUCCCCGAAAGGGGUGCUAAUACCGGAUAAUGUCUUCGAACCAAAGAUUUAUCGCCUUUGGAUGGGCCCGCGUUGGAUUAGCUAGUUGGUAGGGUAAAAGCCUACCAAGGCGACGAUCCAUAGCUGGUCUGAGAGGAUGAUCAGCCACACUGGGACUGAGACACGGCCCAGACUCCUACGGGAGGCAGCAGUGGGGAAUAUUGGACAAUGGGCGAAAGCCUGAUCCAGCAAUGCCGCGUGAGUGAUGAAGGCAGUAGGGUUGUAAAGCUCUUUUACCCGGGAUGAUAAUGACAGUACCGGGAGAAUAAGCUCCGGCUAACUCCGUG
Molecule: ribosomal RNA, 433 nt
Filed under: uncultured bacterium
Lineage: Bacteria
Description: partial 16S ribosomal RNA
Rfam family: Bacterial small subunit ribosomal RNA
Source: RNAcentral